UAUAGAAAAUAUUUUGAAGUUUAUCCUAGAAGAUGAGCUUCAUCAAAUAGAUGCAUAUUCUGUAGGAAAGAGAAUGCCUUUUUGUUAGACAUCUGAACGAAGUCCAGAGGAUCACCUCUACACAAUCACCUCUUAAAAGGUUUGGACUUCUGGGAUGUUCUUGACAUCAACCUGCAAAAUGGCCACAGCUUGGAGGGACACCUUCCCUUUUGCCACCAGCCAUUCAUGUUAAACCAGUGCAGCACCAAUGGGGAGCUUUAGCUAAGAAGAUACUGCUGACAGCACUGAGAAUAGUGGAAGUCCUGUAACCACCAUCACUCCCUCUGUCAUCUGCAGAAAAUGAAAAACUUAAGAAGACUUUUCCUUUAAAACAAAUGCUUAUGAAUAUCACUGCUGCACCUUUGUGAUUUUAAAUUCAAGUUGCAAAUAGUCACACAAUAAAGUUGUGUGUUUUACACAGUUGCCACCAGUUUCAGCUUGUGUUUGAACUUCAUCAGACUAUUCAGAUUAGAAUGGGCAGGUCUCAUCAGACCUGGCUUUCUCUGCAUGUUGGGUAGGAUGGAUGGAAUUUCUCUUAAUUCAUGGAAAGCUCCUCAGUCGUUUCUGCAUUUUACCUUAGAGAGAUGAAGGUGAAGACACUGACCAAGAAUUGUUGGUGUGAAUUGCUGGUCUGUUAACUGACAGUUUGAAACAGUUUUAUAUCAGUCUCUUGAAUGUUGAAUUUGCUUGUGAUUGGAUAUUUUUAAUUUUCAACUGCUUUAACUUCUAUUAUAAGUUGAAAUUAUAACAGUGGGGAAAUUAAAG
Long non-coding RNA from Vidua chalybeata, 804 nucleotides. RefSeq lists it as uncharacterized. Lineage: Eukaryota; Metazoa; Chordata; Aves; Passeriformes; Viduidae. The record is from RefSeq and is a predicted model, not a curated record. The transcript is spliced from 3 exons.